RNAcentral lists this ribosomal RNA (340 nucleotides) under uncultured Glomeromycotina. Its description in RNAcentral is "partial large subunit ribosomal RNA". Lineage: Eukaryota; Fungi; Glomeromycota. The record is from RNAcentral.
UUGAAAGGGAAACGAUUGAAGUCAGUCGUACCAGCGGGAAUCAACCUUUCUAUUGGGGAUUUUGGAGUUUUUUGAAAAUGUCAAAACCUUUAACAUUUCAAAAUAUUCGCUCUUUUGGUUUACUUUCUCUUCGAUAGUUAACAUCGAUUUUGAUCAUCAUAAAAAGAUUGGAGGAAUUACUUCAUCUUUAUUAAUUUAUACCUUUGUAAAUGUAUAUUANAUCANAUUCAACAAUACCCUUUUNNCUAUCCCCUAUCUCUAUACUNCCUUNUAUCAAACUCUUAUGUAUUANUAUUACNUCAAAANUUAAACGAUUACAUUCGUUAAGGAUGUUGACGUA